CUGCUUUGCGGCCGGGGACGAUCAAGGAGGAUGCGAAGGGCGACGAAUAAAUCAGUCAAGUGGGAUGCUAAAACAAUACCCGGAAGGUUUCUUGAAAUGUGUUAUGCAUGUCUCUCAUCCUCUCCAUCCCAUCUCAGCUAAUGCUAAUAUUUGGAUACUCCUAGCGUUGGAUCAGAAGCAUAGAUUUAGAACAUAGUCAAGAGUGUCCAGUUUUUCCAUUUUGCCAAUCAUCUACAACCCAAAAAAGAAAAGACUAAUAAAAGUUUCUGGAGAAA
This is a long non-coding RNA of Pantherophis guttatus, 275 nucleotides long. RefSeq lists it as uncharacterized. NCBI's taxonomy places the organism in Eukaryota, Metazoa, Chordata, Lepidosauria, Squamata, Colubridae. The record is from RefSeq and is a predicted model, not a curated record.